AUUGAACGCUGGCGGCAUGCCUUACACAUGCCAGUCGAACGGUAACAGGUCUUCGGAUGCUGACGAGUGGCGAACGGGUGAGUAAUACAUCGGAACGUGCCCGAUCGUGGGGGAUAACGAAGCGAAAGCUUUGCUAAUACCGCAUAGGAUCUACGGAUGAAAGCAGGGGACCGCAAGGCCUUGCGCGAACGGAGCGGCCGAUGGCAGAUUAGGUAGUUGGUGGGAUAAAAGCUUACCAAGCCGACGAUCUGUAGCUGGUCUGAGAGGACGACCAGCCACACUGGGACUGAGACACGGCCCAGACUCCUACGGGAGGCAGCAGUGGGGAAUUUUGGACAAUGGGCGAAAGCCUGAUCCAGCCAUGCCGCGUGCAGGAUGAAGGCCUUCGGGUUGUAAACUGCUUUUGUACGGAACGAAAAGACUCUGGUUAAUACCUGGGGUCCAUGACGGUACCGUAAGAAUAAGCACCGGCUAACUACGUG
Molecule: ribosomal RNA, 482 nt
Filed under: uncultured bacterium
Lineage: Bacteria
Description: partial 16S ribosomal RNA
Rfam family: Bacterial small subunit ribosomal RNA
Source: RNAcentral